UGGGGAAUUUUGCGCAAUGGGCGAAAGCCUGACGCAGCAACGCCGCGUGCGGGAUGACGGCCUUCGGGUUGUAAACCGCUUUCAGUGGGAAAGAUAAUGACGGUACCCACACAAGAAGCUCCGGCUAAAUACGUGCC
RNAcentral lists this ribosomal RNA (137 nucleotides) under uncultured bacterium. RNAcentral's name for it is "partial 16S ribosomal RNA". It matches the Rfam family "Bacterial small subunit ribosomal RNA", at positions 355 to 509 of the family's 1533-position model. The record is from RNAcentral.